CAAUAGCGUAUAUUAAAGUUGUUGCAAUUAAAAAGCUCGUAGUUGGAUUUCUGGUGGGAGCGAUCGGUCUGGCGCUUAGCGCGAGUACUUGCAUCGUCUCCGGCCAUCCUUGGGGAGAGUCUGUCUGGCAUUAGGUUGUCGGGCAGAGGAUCCUCAUCGUUUACUGUGAAAAAAUUAGAGUGUUCAAAGCAGGCUUAUGCCGUUGAAUAUAUUAGCAUGGAAUAAUAAGAUAGGACUUUGGUACUAUUUUGUUGGUUUGCGCACCAAAGUAAUGAUUAAUAGGGACAGUUGGGGGUAUUCGUAUUCCGUUGUCAGAGGUGAAAUUCUUGGAUUUACGGAAGACGAACUACUGCGAAAGCAUUUACCAAGGAUGUUUUCAUUAA
This 383-nucleotide ribosomal RNA is filed under the name uncultured eukaryote. Its description in RNAcentral is "partial 18S ribosomal RNA". It matches the Rfam family "Eukaryotic small subunit ribosomal RNA", at positions 592 to 976 of the family's 1831-position model. The record is from RNAcentral.